This is a long non-coding RNA of Oncorhynchus tshawytscha (Chinook salmon), 8352 nucleotides long. The record is from Ensembl. NCBI's taxonomy places the organism in Eukaryota, Metazoa, Chordata, Actinopteri, Salmoniformes, Salmonidae.
UUCCUUUCACAUAACUUUCACAGAACUUUAUUUCCUUUCACAUAAGCACUGAAUAUCGUUAACGCCCUCAGAAGGCAGACAGAUGAUAAAAGGAAUGAAAAAUGGUAGAAGUGUAACGAAACAGUCUGGCAGCCUCUAUUCCUACCAUACAUUUUCUAGUUCACUGACUCAUUUAUUCAAGGAAAGUACAUUUGUAUUUGUUUUGUUUAAUCUGAAAUUCACCUGUGAUUGCCAGAAAUAACAACUGAGAGAAAGACUAUGUCCCAAUGGGCACCCUAUUCACUAUGUCGUGCACUAUAUAGGGAUUAGGGUGCCAUUUGGGACUCACAAGAGAGACUCGUCCAAAGCUAAAGUGAUGAAACACCAGCUUGGGUAGCAUGCUGUGUUUUGUUCAGAUGAUUGUUUACACACCCCAGAUUCACCAUGACCCAUUAGCCUCAGGUGAGAGCACAGAGAUUGUUAAAGGAACAAUAUUGUAUCUGUCUCAUUAUGCUGUCUGUGAGAGCAUGACCCCAUCUCCAUUUUUCAUUUUCUUAUUCUACUACUUCUAUGAGUUGGUAAACAACCUGAAAGGGUGCAGUGUGUUGUUUGAACAGGUAAAACAAUUAUGGAAUGUCUGCACACGAGUAUAAUUCAUUGGCUGAUCCCUCCUGAUGACCUAGAUAGAAGUACGUGAUCCUUCCUUAACCCAUAGGAUGUCCCACUCAGUUGACUACUUCAAAAUGGUGAACGUCCUCAAUGGUGCUGCCCAUGCUUAAACAAGCUUUGGGGCACUAGAGUCCUCUAACGGUGAGAGUUAGAUCACCUAGCUGAUUGGCUGCUUCACCUUUGACUGGGAAAGUUCAAGAGGGGUCAAGUGCCUUGUUGCAAACAGGAUGCCUGUAUUGACACUGGAAGUCUAUGGGGAAUUGUCAGAGGCGGUCUCAUAUUGUUACAUCACCAACAUUUUGAGAAUAAAGGCGCUAACAUGGCGUCCAUUCUAAAACCUGGCCAAACUCUUAAUAUACUGCAUGGCUCUACUUCUCCCUGCUCAUAACCUGGCAACACAUGGCGCUGGAAUAGAACUGAAUGAAACAAUCGGAAACAGUUUAAUCCUAUAUGGUUCCUGAUAUAGUUACUGUAUAUUGUACUUCCUGAAUAAUCUUGUUAGUGAUGAUGCAAAUAUUUAAUUUGUUUUCAUCUCAAAUCAUCUUGUUGGCUUAGUUCUUCCUUCCCUGUGGUUUUGAUGUCCCAAUACAAAUCAAAUCAAAUUUUAUUGGUCACAUACACAUUUAGCAGAUGUUAUUGCGGGUGUAGUGAAAUGCUUGCAUUCCUAGCUCCAACAGUGCAGUAGUAUUUAAAAACAAUUCACAACAAUAAUGUCAUUCAGAAAUGUAUUAAUAUUAGAUUGAGCAAUGUCGGAGUGGGUUUGACUAAAAUAUAGUAGAAUAGAAUACAGUAUAUAAAUACGAGAUGAGUAAAGCAGUAGGUAAACAUUAUAUAAACAUUAUUAAACGAACUAGUGUUCCAUUAUAAAAGUGGCCAGUGAUUCCAAGUCGAUGUAUAUAGGGCAGCAGCCUCUAAGGUGCAGGGUUGCAUAACCGGAUGGAAGCCGGCUAGUGAUGGCUAUUUAACAGUCUGAUGGCCUUGGGAUAGAAGCUGUUUUUCAGUCUCUCGGCCCCAGCUUUGAUGCACCUGUACUGACCUCGCCUUCUGGAUGAUAGCAGAGUGAACAGGCCGUGGCUCGGGUGGUUGAUGUCAUUGAUGUACACGCCGAGGAACUUGAAGCUUUCCACUUCCUCCACUGAGCUUCCUGUCGAUGUGGUUAGGGGCGUGUUCCAUUUGCUAUUUCCUGUUUUGUUGACAUUGAGUGAGAGGUUAUUUUCCUGCCACCACUCUCCUAGGGCCCUCACCUCCUCCCUGUAGGGUGUCGCGUCUUUUGUUGGUAAUCAGACCUACUACUUUUGUGCCAUCAGCAAACUUGAUUGAGUUGGAAGCGUGCGUGGCCACGAAGUCAUGGGUGAACAGGGAGUACAGGAAAGGGCUGAGCAAGCACCCUUGUGGGGCUUCUGUGCUGAGGAUCAGCGAAGUGGAGGUGUUGUUCCUAUCUUCACCGCCUGGGGGUGCCCCAUCAGGUAGUGCAGGACCCAGUUGCACAGGGCGGGGUCGAGACCCAGGAUCACAAGUUUAAUGAUGGGUUUGGAGGGUACUAUGGUGUUGAAUGCUGAGCUGUAGUCAAGGAACAGCAGUACCGGAGUGCCAAGUCUUGGACAAAAAGGCUUCUCAACAGUUUUUACCCCCAAGCCAUAAAACUCCUGAACAUCUAACCAAAUGGUUACCCGGACUACUUGCAUUGUGUACCCCCCCAACCCCUCUUUUACACUGCUGCUACUCUCUGUUUAUCUUAUAUGCAUAGUCACUUUAACUAUACAUUCAUGUACAUACUACCUCAAUAAGCCUGACAAACAGGUGUCUGUAUAUAACCUUGCUACUCUUUUUCAAAUGUCUUUUUACUGUUGUUUUAUUUCUUUACUUACCUACACACACACACACCUUUUUUCACACCAUUGGUUAGAGCCUGUAAGUAAGCAUUUCACUGUAAGGUCUACACCUGUUGUAUUUGGCGUACGUGACAAAUAAACUUUGAUUUGAUUUUGUCCAGAUGGGAUAGUGCAGUGUGCAGUGUGAUGGCGAUUGCAUCGUCUGUGGACCUAAUGGGGCGGUAAGCAAAUUGAAGUGGGCCUAGGGUGACAGGUAGGGUGGAGGUGAUAUGAUCCUUGACUAGUCUCUCAAAGCACUUCAUGAUGACAGAAGUGAGUGCUAUUUGGCAAUAGUCAUUUAGUUCAGUUAGCUUAGUUUUCUUGGGAACAGGAACAAUGGUGGCCAUCUUGAAAAUUGUGAGGACAACAGACUCGGAUAGACAGCGAUUGAUUUAAAUACAGUUGAAGUCGGAAGUUUACAUACACCUUAGCCAAAUUGCUGGGAUAAUUACUUGUGUCAUGCACAAAAUAGAUUUCCUAACCGACUUGCCAAAACUAUAGUUUGUUAACAAGAAAUUUGUGGAGUGGUUGAAAAACAAGUUAAUGACUCCAACCUAAGUGUAUGAAAACUUCCGACUUCAACUAUGUCCGUAAACACACCAGCCGUCUGGUCUGCACAUGCUUUGAGGAUGUGGAUAGGGAAGCCAUCUGGGUCAGCAAAGGUUAACAUGUUUAAAUCUUUUACUCACGUCAGCCACGGAGAAGGGGGGGUGCAGUCCUUGUUAGCGGCUGCGACGGUGACACUGUAUUAUCCUCAAAACGAGCAAAGAAGGUGUUUAGUUUGUCUGGAAGCGUAACGUCGGUGUCCGUGAUGUGGCUGGAUUUUAUGUAGUCUGUGGUUUCCUGUAGACCCUGCCACAUACGUCUCGUGUCUAAACCAUUGAAUUGCGACUCUACCUUGUCCCUGUAAUGGCAUUUUGCUUGCCUUGCGGAGGGAAUAGCUACACUGUUUAUAUUCAGACAUAUUCCCAGACCUCUCUCCAUGGUCAAAUGCGGUGGAUCGUGCUUUCAAUUCUGCGCGAGUGCCACCAUCCAUCCACGGUUUAUGGUUAGGGUAGGUUCGCCAUGAAACACUAUCAGAAAGACUCACCCUCUGUUAAUAGAUAGUGAGAAAGUUCUAAAAAGAAAACGUCACUCAUCAGUGACUUGAUAAGCUGACUUAGCUAACGUGGCCUGCCUGCUCAGUGUGCUUGCUAGCUACUGCUAUCUAGCUUAAUUGACAAACACAGAGACGGAACAUCGCUAGCUAUCUAGCUAGUGAUUUUGAGCACUGUUAAACAGCGUAUAGCAGCUUGUGCUUUACUUACGAUAGUUUGACAGCUUGUUGAUAAAGUUGUAGACACGUUCUCAGAAAUCAGUCCUGAGCGCAGUCUGCAGCAGCUGACUAGACGAUACUGUCUGCAGUGCACUGACUUGUUUUCAUGUAUGUUUUGUAACAUGAGAAAUACUGCACCCAACACCUUAUUUAGAGGUAAAACUGUGUGACUAAGACUUCCUCUGCAAAAAAAUAUAUAUAUAUAUAUAUCACACACAUACAUACAGUUGAAGUCAGAAGUUUACAUAUACCUGAAGCAAAUACAUUUAAACUCAGUUUUUCACAAUUCCUGACAUUUAAUCCAAGCAAACAUUCCCUGUCUUAGGUCAGUUAGGAUCACCACUUUAUUUUAAGAAUGUGAAAUGUCAGAAUAAUAAUAGAGAGUGACUUAUUUCAGCUUUUAUUUCUUUCAUCACAUUUCAUCCAAGUGGGUCAGAAAUUUACAUGCACUCAAUUGGUAUUUAGUAGCAUUGCCUAUGAAUUGUUUAACUUGGGUCAAAUGUUUUGGGUAGCCUACCACAAUAAAUUGGGUGAAUUUUGGCCCAUUCCUCCUGACAGAGCUGGUGUAACUGAGUCAGGUUUGUAGGCCUCCUCGCUCGCAAACACUUUUUCAGUUCUGCCCACAAAUGUUCUAUGGGAUUGAGGUCAGGGCUUUGUGAUGGCCACUCCAAUACCUUGACUUUGUUGUCCUAAAGCCAUUUUGCCACAACUUUGGAAGUAUACUUGGGGUCAUUGUCCAUUUGGAAAACCCAUUUGCAACCAAGCUUUAACUUCCUGACUGAUGUCUUGAGAUGUUGCUUCAACAUAUCCACAUAAUUUUCCUUUCUCAUGAAGCCAUCCAUUUUGUGAAGUGCUGCAGUCCCUCCUGCAGCAAAGCACCACAACAAGAUGCUGCCACCCCCGUGCUUCACGGUUGGGAUGGUGUUCUUCGGCUUGCAAGCCUCCCCCUUUUCCUCCAAACAUAACGAUGGUCAUUAUGGCCAAACAGUUCUAUUUUAGUUUCAUCAGACCAGAGGACAUUUCAAAAAGUGCCAUAUUUGUCCCCAUGUGCAGUUUCAAAUCGUAGUCUGGCUUUUUUAUGUCGGUUUUGUCAAUAUAGGACUUGUUUUACUGUGGAUAUAAAUACUUUUGUACCGGUUUCCUCCAGCAUCACCACAAGGUCCUUUGCUGUUGUUCUGGGAUUGAUUUGCACUUUUUGCACCAAAGUACAUUCAUCUCUAGGAGACAGAACGCGUCUCCUUCCUGAGUUGUAUGACGGCUGCGUGGUCCCAUGGUGUUCAUACUUGAAUACUAUUGUUUGUACAGAUGAAGGUGGUACCUUCAGGCGUUGGAAAUUCCUCCCAAGGAUGAACCAGACUUGUGGAGGACUACAAUUAUUUUCUGAGUUCUUGGCUGAUUUCUUUGGUUUGACAUCAUGGGAAAAUCAAAGAGGAACUGAGUUUGAAAGUAGGCCUUGAAUUACAUCCACAGGUACACCUCAAAUUGACCCAAAUGAUGCCAAAUAGCCUAUCAGAAGCUUCUAAAGCCAUGACAUAAUUUUCUGGAAUUUUCCAAGCUGUUUAAAUGCACAGUCAACUUAGUGUAUGUAAACUUCUGACCCACUGGAAUUGUGAUACAGUGAAUUAUAAGUUAAAUAAUCUGUCUGUAAACAAUUGCUGGAAAAAUGACUUGUGUCUUGCACAAAGUAGAUGUCCUAACCGACUUACCAAAACUAUAGUUUGUUAACAAGAAAUUUGUGGAGUGGUUGAAAACCGAUUUUUAAUGACUCCAACCUAAGUAUAUGUAAACUUCCGACUUCAACUGUAUGUAUACAACCAUCCCAGAUCUACAUAUUUUGCUGUGAAGAGAAUCAUUAGAUCACUUGUUUUGGUACUACCCAUAUGUAUCUUGUUUUUGGUUGCAAGUCCAGGAAUGGCUGAAAAACUGAAACAUUCACCAGGAGCUAACUCUGCAAAUAGCACUGCUGGGUGAUUUGAAGUCAUUGUCAUUCAAUCAAUAAUAUAAUAAUACUCAGCAAAGGUGUUUAUCUUUCAAUCUGUAGAAACUAUGAGAAAAGAAAGGUUCAGCACCUCCCGAGUGGCGCAGCGGUCUAAGGCAUCACUACAGACCCGGGUUCGAUCCCAGUCUGUGUCGCAGCCGGCUGCGCCCGGGAGACCAAUGAGGUGGCGCACAAUUGGCCUAGCGUCGUCUGAGUUAGGGGAGGGUUUGGCCAGCCGUGAUGUCCUAGUCCCAUCACUAGACACCUGUGGCAGGCCGGGUGCACGCACGCUGACUUCAGUCACCAGUUGUACGCUGUUCCCUCUGACACAUUGGUGCAGCUGGCUUCUGGGUUAAGCGGGCAGUUUGUCAAGAAGCAGUGCGGCUUGCCAGGGCCGUGUUUUGUAGGACGCAUGGCUCUCGACCUUUGCCUUUCCCGAGUCUGUUGAAGCGAUGGGACAAGACUGUAACUACCAAUUGGAUAUCACGAAAAAGGGGUAAAAAAAUAUAUAAUUUUAGGUUCAGCACAGUAGAAAAAUAUAUGGCAGAUAGAAAUCUAAACUGGAUGGUAUUCAGAGAUAGAUAGGAGGGGUUGAGUAGCUCAAGGCGGGGACUAAAAACCAACAAAAGAUAACUAAUGUAAAAUAUACUGUCAGUGAAAUGUAUGUUUAAUGUAUGUUUAGUAUGUUUAAGUAUUAUUUUCCAUUAGUUUACUCCAAUUACGGGAGGGGUGCUUGAGGGGGGAAAUAAUAACAUAAAAAUAUAAAGAUAUGGGGGAUUGCAGACAAUUACAUUGACAGAAGCCAAUCUAUCUGCAAUAUUAAAGCUGAUGUUUAAAAAAAUAUAUAUUAUAAAAAAUAAACCACUGCACUAAAUUACUAUCGCCCCAUAGCAAUCACAUCUGUCAUUAUUGUCAGUGCUUUGAAAGGCUAAUCAAGGGCCAUUACCUCCACCAUACCUGACACCCAAGAGGAACAUUAUGUGAGAAUACUAUUCAUCGACGACAGCUCAGCUUUUAACACCAUAGUGCGCUAAGCUAAGGCCCUUGGGUCUGAACUCCUCCCUGUGCAACUGGUUCCUAGAAUUCCUGACGAGCCGACCCCAGGUGGUGAGGGUAGGCAACAACACCUCCGCCACACUGAUCCUCAACAUGGGGGGCCCCCCCAUGUGUGUGGCUCAGCCACCUCCUAUACUCCCUGUUCACACACAACUCUAACUCAAUCAUCAAGUUUGCUGACAACACAACAGUGGUAGGCCUGAUUACCAACAACAACAAGACAUCCUACAGGGAGGAGGUUAGAGCCCUCUGGAGUGGUGCCAGAAAAAUAACCUCUCCCUCAAUGUCAACAAAACAAAUAAGCUUAUCUUGGACUACAGUAGACAGAAGAGGGAGGAUGCCACCAACCUCAUUGACAGGGCCACAAUGGAUAGGGUCAAAACCUCAAUGGAUAAGGUCAAUAGCUUCAAGUUCGUCGUGUUGCACAUCACUGAGCACCUAAGACCCUCACAAACUACACCAUUAAGAGCAUUCUGUCGGGCUGCAUCACUGCCUGGUAUGGCAACUGCUCCGCCCUCAACCGCAUAGCUCUCCAGGGGCCACGCUGCCUGACCUCCAGGACAUUUACCACACUCGGUGUCAAAGGAAGUCUAAGAAGAUCAUCAAGGACCUCAGUCACAUCGACACACACACGCACAGCCAACGCUGCUGUAUCAUGUUAUAGAGACAUUGAACCAACCACUGGUCACUUCCUGUUUCACACUGUGUCUUUAAAUACUGUAUCCUCAACAUAGCUUAUUCUAAUAUUUCUACAUCUGCACAUUGUAUUUUAGUUACACUGAUUAUAUGCACCACAUAUUUAUUUAUAUACUUGAUUCUUGACAUAGUUCACUAUAUAUUGUGUUUACUGCUGUACAUUCUUAGUUGAUCUGGUGUAAAUUCCCCCGGUGUACAUAUUGUAUGUAUAGAUUCCAUUUUGAUACUGCUACAUUGCUAUUUGGGUUAACUGGAUUCGUCCUUCCAUUCUUUUUUGUAUUUUUCUUUACAAUGUAUUUCUUUACAUUGUAAUUGCUUGAGAUUUGACUACAUUGCUAGGAGUUAGCAACAUAAGCAUUUCGCUGCCCAGCUAUUACACCUGCUAAACUGUGUACGUGACCAAUACACUUUUAUUUGAUUUACUCCCCAACACUGAUGGUUAGCUACUGACUUGAUCACAGGUGUAUGUAUGAUGAUGUUUUGUAUUGACUAAGGUCUUAUUGUACAUUUCUAGAUACACUUGUACAAACAUAUCUAUAGGAAGUAGAACAUUGCAUUGCAUUUCAUGUUGCAUGAAAGAUCAGUCUGUCCGUCCACUAGACGAUGACUACAGAGAAAACUUGAGUAAAUAUGGAUGGAAUACAACUCCACUGGACAGAGGCUGAACAGAGGUUGCUUAACACUCAGUCCCUGGUCCAUUCAACUCCACUGGACACAGAGGCUGAACAUCUCGAGGUUGCUUAACACUCAGUCCCUGGUCCAUUCAACUCCACUGGACAGAGGCUGAA